AAAAUGCGAUACGCAAUGCGAAUUGCAGAAUUCCGCGAAUCAUCAGAUUCUUGAACGCAACUGGCGCUGAAGGGAUAUCCUUUCAGCAUGUCUGUUUCAGUGUCUCAUAACCUCACAUUCAACCAUAGUGUGUUUGACAAGGAUGAUGUGUAUUACAUCUUCCAAGUCUUACAUGAAAGAUGUAUGUGUGGAUCUUUAGAUCCAUCGAAUUUGUCACUGCUUUCUUAUUCAGUGAUUUCGAUAGGAAUUUCUAAUUAUCUGAAAACACAUAGAAAUUAGUUUUUUCUAUAUUUAUCUGCAUCUGAAAUCAGGCAAGAACACCCGCUGAACUUAA
RNAcentral lists this unclassified non-coding RNA (334 nucleotides) under uncultured fungus. Its description in RNAcentral is "sequence contains ITS1". The stretch from base 1 to 105 matches the Rfam family "5.8S ribosomal RNA", at positions 50 to 154 of the family's 154-position model. The record is from RNAcentral. Lineage: Eukaryota; Fungi.